Molecule: ribosomal RNA, 1358 nt
Filed under: Staphylococcus aureus
Lineage: Bacteria; Bacillati; Bacillota; Bacilli; Caryophanales; Staphylococcaceae
Description: 16S ribosomal RNA
Rfam family: Bacterial small subunit ribosomal RNA
Source: RNAcentral
GGUGAGUAACACGUGGAUAACCUACCUAUAAGACUGGGAUAACUUCGGCGAAACCGGGAGCUAAUACCGGAUAAUAUUUUGAACCGCAUGGUUCAAAAGUGAAAGACGGUCUUGCUGUCACUUAUAGAUGGAUCCGCGCUGCAUUAGCUAGUUGGUAAGGUAACGGCUUACCAAGGCAACGAUGCAUAGCCGACCUGAGAGGGUGAUCGGCCACACUGGAACUGAGACACGGUCCAGACUCCUACGGGAGGCAGCAGUAGGGAAUCUUCCGCAAUGGGCGAAAGCCUGACGGAGCAACGCCGCGUGAGUGAUGAAGGUCUUCGGAUCGUAAAACUCUGUUAUUAGGGAAGAACAUAUGUGUAAGUAACUGUGCACAUCUUGACGGUACCUAAUCAGAAAGCCACGGCUAACUACGUGCCAGCAGCCGCGGUAAUACGUAGGUGGCAAGCGUUAUCCGGAAUUAUUGGGCGUAAAGCGCGCGUAGGCGGUUUUUUAAGUCUGAUGUGAAAGCCCACGGCUCAACCGUGGAGGGUCAUUGGAAACUGGAAAACUUGAGUGCAGAAGAGGAAAGUGGAAUUCCAUGUGUAGCGGUGAAAUGCGCAGAGAUAUGGAGGAACACCAGUGGCGAAGGCGACUUUCUGGUCUGUAACUGACGCUGAUGUGCGAAAGCGUGGGGAUCAAACAGGAUUAGAUACCCUGGUAGUCCACGCCGUAAACGAUGAGUGCUAAGUGUUAGGGGGUUUCCGCCCCUUAGUGCUGCAGCUAACGCAUUAAGCACUCCGCCUGGGGAGUACGACCGCAAGGUUGAAACUCAAAGGAAUUGACGGGGACCCGCACAAGCGGUGGAGCAUGUGGUUUAAUUCGAAGCAACGCGAAGAACCUUACCAAAUCUUGACAUCCUUUGACAACUCUAGAGAUAGAGCUUUCCCCUUCGGGGGACAAAGUGACAGGUGGUGCAUGGUUGUCGUCAGCUCGUGUCGUGAGAUGUUGGGUUAAGUCCCGCAACGAGCGCAACCCUUAAGCUUAGUUGCCAUCAUUAAGUUGGGCACUCUAAGUUGACUGCCGGUGACAAACCGGAGGAAGGUGGGGAUGACGUCAAAUCAUCAUGCCCCUUAUGAUUUGGGCUACACACGUGCUACAAUGGACAAUACAAAGGGCAGCGAAACCGCGAGGUCAAGCAAAUCCCAUAAAGUUGUUCUCAGUUCGGAUUGUAGUCUGCAACUCGACUACAUGAAGCUGGAAUCGCUAGUAAUCGUAGAUCAGCAUGCUACGGUGAAUACGUUCCCGGGUCUUGUACACACCGCCCGUCACACCACGAGAGUUUGUAACACCCGAAGCCGGUGGAGUAACCUUUUAGG